AACGAACGCUGGCGGCAUGCCUAACACAUGCAAGUCGAACGGAUGCAGCAAUGCAUCAGUGGCAGACGGGUGAGUAACACGUGGGAAUCUACCCAGUAGCCUGGAAUAACCGCGGGAAACUGCGGCUAAUACCGGAUACGCCCCUCGGGGGAAAGGAGCAAUCCACUAUUGGAGGAGCCCGCGUCCGAUUAGCUAGUUGGUGAGGUAACGGCUCACCAAGGCGAUGAUCGGUAGCUGGUUUGAGAGAACGACCAGCCACACUGGGACUGAGACACGGCCCAGACUCCUACGGGAGGCAGCAGUGGGGAAGAUUGGACAAUGGGGGAAACCCGGAUCCAGCAAUGCCGCGUGGGUGAUGAAGGCCUUCUGGUUGUAAAGCCCUUUUGGCGGGGACGAUGAUGACGGUACCCGCAGAAGAAGCCCCGGCUAACUUCGUGCCAGCCGCCGCCGUAA
Molecule: ribosomal RNA, 453 nt
Filed under: uncultured bacterium
Lineage: Bacteria
Description: partial 16S ribosomal RNA
Rfam family: Bacterial small subunit ribosomal RNA
Source: RNAcentral